AUUGAACGCUGGCGGAAUGCUUUACACAUGCAAGUCGAACGGCAGCACGGGAGCUUGCUCCUGGUGGCGAGUGGCGAACGGGUGAGUAACAUAUCGGAACGUACCCAGUCGUGGGGGAUAACUAUCCGAAAGGAUAGCUAAUACCGCAUACGUCCUGAGGGAGACAGCGGGGGAUCGCAAGACCUCGCGCGAUUGGAGCGGCCGAUAUCGGAUUAGCUAGUUGGUGGGGUAAAGGCUCACCAAGGCGACGAUCCGUAGCGGGUCUGAGAGGACGACCCGCCACACUGGAACUGAGACACGGUCCAGACUCCUACGGGAGGCAGCAGUGGGGAAUUUUGGACAAUGGGGGCAACCCUGAUCCAGCCAUUCCGCGUGAGUGAAGAAGGCCUUCGGGUUGUAAAGCUCUUUCAGCAGGAACGAAACGGUCGGCUUUAAUAAAGUCGGCUAAUGACGGUACCUGCAGAAGAAGCACCGGCUAACUACGUG
RNAcentral lists this ribosomal RNA (486 nucleotides) under uncultured bacterium. RNAcentral's name for it is "partial 16S ribosomal RNA". It matches the Rfam family "Bacterial small subunit ribosomal RNA", at positions 30 to 507 of the family's 1533-position model. The record is from RNAcentral.